UUUUAGCAUUUGUAGACGUUAAAGAACAAAGCGGUUCGUGGCCGUAACCACGUAAAAAAACGUA
The sequence is a regulatory RNA element, 64 nucleotides long. It matches the Rfam family "GP20-b RNA". The record is from Rfam.